Molecule: ribosomal RNA, 903 nt
Filed under: uncultured Bacteroidota bacterium
Lineage: Bacteria; Pseudomonadati; Bacteroidota
Description: bacterial SSU rRNA
Rfam family: Bacterial small subunit ribosomal RNA
Source: RNAcentral
UGGAUCCAGACUUUGAUCCUGGCUCAGGAUGAACGCUAGCUACAGGCUUAACACAUGCAAGUCGAGGGGAAACGACAUCGAAAGCUUGCUUUUGAUGGGCGUCGACCGGCGCACGGGUGAGUAACGCGUAUCCAACCUGCCCACCACUUGGGGAUAACCUUGCGAAAGUAAGACUAAUACCCAAUGACGUCUCUAGAAGACAUCUGAAAGAGAUUAAAGAUUUAUCGGUGAUGGAUGGGGAUGCGUCUGAUUAGCUUGUUGGCGGGGUAACGGCCCACCAAGGCGACGAUCAGUAGGGGUUCUGAGAGGAAGGUCCCCCACAUUGGAACUGAGACACGGUCCAAACUCCUACGGGAGGCAGCAGUGAGGAAUAUUGGUCAAUGGACGAGAGUCUGAACCAGCCAAGUAGCGUGCAGGAAGACGGCCCUAUGGGUUGUAAACUGCUUUUAUAAGGGAAUAAAGUGAGAGUCGUGACUCUUUUUGCAUGUACCUUAUGAAUAAGGACCGGCUAACUCCGUGCCAGCAGCCGCGGUAAUACGGAAGGUCCGGGCGUUAUCCGGAUUUAUUGGGUUUAAAGGGAGCGUAGGCCGGAGAUUAAGCGUGUUGUGAAAUGUAGGCGCUCAACGUCUGCACUGCAGCGCGAACUGGUUUCCUUGAGUACGCACAAAGUGGGCGGAAUUCGUGGUGUAGCGGUGAAAUGCUUAGAUAUCACGAAGAACUCCGAUUGCGAAGGCAGCUCACUGGAGCGCAACUGACGCUGAAGCUCGAAAGUGCGGGUAUCGAACAGGAUUAGAUACCCUGGUAGUCCGCACGGUAAACGAUGGAUGCCCGCUGUUGGUCUGAAUAGGUCAGCGGCCAAGCGAAAGCAUUAAGCAUCCCACCUGGGGAGUACAACGGCAACGG